UGCGUAGGCGGCUAGGCAAGUCAGACGUGAAAACCAUGGGCUCAACCUGUGGACUGCGUUUGAAACUGUUUAGCUUGAGUGAAGUAGAGGUAGGCGGAAUUCCCGGUGUAGCGGUGAAAUGCGUAGAGAUCGGGAGGAACACCAGUGGCGAAGGCGGCCUACUGGGCUUUAACUGACGCUGAGGCACGAAAGCAUGGGGAGCAAACAG
This 208-nucleotide ribosomal RNA is filed under the name uncultured bacterium. RNAcentral's name for it is "partial 16S ribosomal RNA". It matches the Rfam family "Bacterial small subunit ribosomal RNA", at positions 568 to 775 of the family's 1533-position model. The record is from RNAcentral.